GAUCAUGGCUCAGGAUGAACGCUAGCUACAGGCUUAACACAUGCAAGUCGAGGGGCAGCAUUUUAGUUUGCUUGCAAACUGAAGAUGGCGACCGGCGCACGGGUGAGUAACACGUAUCCAACCUGCCGAUAACUCCGGAAUAGCCUUUCGAAAGAAAGAUUAAUACCGGAUAGUAUACGAAUAUCGCAUGAUAUUUUUAUUAAAGAAUUUCGGUUAUCGAUGGGGAUGCGUUCCAUUAGUUUGUUGG
Molecule: ribosomal RNA, 247 nt
Filed under: uncultured bacterium
Lineage: Bacteria
Description: partial 16S ribosomal RNA
Rfam family: Bacterial small subunit ribosomal RNA
Source: RNAcentral